Triticum aestivum (bread wheat) is the source of this 987-nucleotide long non-coding RNA. RefSeq lists it as uncharacterized. Lineage: Eukaryota; Viridiplantae; Streptophyta; Magnoliopsida; Poales; Poaceae. The transcript is spliced from 3 exons. The record is from RefSeq and is a predicted model, not a curated record.
UCCGCGCACGGCGGGGGCUUGGAGGCGGAUCCGGAGGUGGGCGGCGACGCGGGGGGCGAGGAAGGCCGGAGCGCGGCUUCCCGGGCGGAUCCAUGGCAGAGAAGAGACUGGGUGGUGAGGUUGAGAAGAAGGGAGAAAAGUGGGGCGGUGCGGCGACCCACGCAGGAGCUCGCCGGAGCCGGGUGACGAUGGACGGGCGCGGGAGACAGAAGGAUCCGGCGCGGCGGCGCGCACUCCUUGUAGUUGGAGGCGGGCCUUCAUGGCCGCGGCGCCCCUCCCCCCGCGACAGCUCAGGCAGCGGUCAGAUCCGCCCUCCCUCCCUCCCUCACUCCUCGCACUGGAAGACCUAGCCGCCGGGCCAUGGUGACCGACGGCGAUGAUGACGGUGGUGGCUACCUCGACGAUGGAUAAAAUCCGCUCCGCCCCUCCUCUUAUCCGUCGACGACCGCUUGAAUCCCGAGAGGAGAGGAGAGGAGUGGGAGAUCCAUGGCGGCGGAAAGAUCCGCGCCUGGAUCGGACCUGCUCGUCAAGGAGACCCACGCCAUGGAGCUGCUCGUCAAUGUUCCACCCUGGCACACAUCCAACAUCGCCAUGGACCAGUAGCUCAAGCCGUCUUCUUCCAGAUGGUGAUGGGGUUCCCUCACCAUCUGCAGGUCAUCAUCCUUAAGGGCUCCACCAUCUGCAGUGUCUACAGUGGACUAUUUGCAUCUUCAGUGCAAAUACCUGAUUGUAUAUGGAUGGAUUGUAGGGUCUAACCACCUUGAUUUGAUUCGGGCUGGAGCAGCAGCAGCAGGUCCUUCCUUCCAUGGAGGGCAUCCACAACAUGACCCGCACAAGGAGCUCCAAGCAGACAAAGGUACCUGCUCCAUUGUUGUACAUGUUCGUGAGUUCUUUGUGAUGAUGAAACCACUGAUUGGAUGUCCUGAUUAGAUACAAUCCAUUCCAUUGAACUGUGGGGACAACAUGAGGCACAUGUCUCGUUUAAAU